Molecule: ribosomal RNA, 1424 nt
Filed under: Enterococcus hirae
Lineage: Bacteria; Bacillati; Bacillota; Bacilli; Lactobacillales; Enterococcaceae
Description: bacterial SSU rRNA
Rfam family: Bacterial small subunit ribosomal RNA
Source: RNAcentral
UGCAGUCGAACGCUUCUUUUUCCACCGGAGCUUGCUCCACCGGAAAAAGAGGAGUGGCGAACGGGUGAGUAACACGUGGGUAACCUGCCCAUCAGAAGGGGAUAACACUUGGAAACAGGUGCUAAUACCGUAUAACAAUCGAAACCGCAUGGUUUUGAUUUGAAAGGCGCUUUCGGGUGUCGCUGAUGGAUGGACCCGCGGUGCAUUAGCUAGUUGGUGAGGUAACGGCUCACCAAGGCGACGAUGCAUAGCCGACCUGAGAGGGUGAUCGGCCACAUUGGGACUGAGACACGGCCCAAACUCCUACGGGAGGCAGCAGUAGGGAAUCUUCGGCAAUGGACGAAAGUCUGACCGAGCAACGCCGCGUGAGUGAAGAAGGUUUUCGGAUCGUAAAACUCUGUUGUUAGAGAAGAACAAGGAUGAGAGUAACUGUUCAUCCCUUGACGGUAUCUAACCAGAAAGCCACGGCUAACUACGUGCCAGCAGCCGCGGUAAUACGUAGGUGGCAAGCGUUGUCCGGAUUUAUUGGGCGUAAAGCGAGCGCAGGCGGUUUCUUAAGUCUGAUGUGAAAGCCCCCGGCUCAACCGGGGAGGGUCAUUGGAAACUGGGAGACUUGAGUGCAGAAGAGGAGAGUGGAAUUCCAUGUGUAGCGGUGAAAUGCGUAGAUAUAUGGAGGAACACCAGUGGCGAAGGCGGCUCUCUGGUCUGUAACUGACGCUGAGGCUCGAAAGCGUGGGGAGCAAACAGGAUUAGAUACCCUGGUAGUCCACGCCGUAAACGAUGAGUGCUAAGUGUUGGAGGGUUUCCGCCCUUCAGUGCUGCAGCUAACGCAUUAAGCACUCCGCCUGGGGAGUACGACCGCAAGGUUGAAACUCAAAGGAAUUGACGGGGGCCCGCACAAGCGGUGGAGCAUGUGGUUUAAUUCGAAGCAACGCGAAGAACCUUACCAGGUCUUGACAUCCUUUGACCACUCUAGAGAUAGAGCUUCCCCUUCGGGGGCAAAGUGACAGGUGGUGCAUGGUUGUCGUCAGCUCGUGUCGUGAGAUGUUGGGUUAAGUCCCGCACGAGCGCACCUUAUGUUAGUGCCAUCAUUUAGUGGCACUCUAGCAAGACUGCCGGUGACAAACCGGAGGAAGGUGGGGAUGACGUCAAAUCAUCAUGCCCCUUAUGACCUGGGCUACACACGUGCUACAAUGGGAAGUACAACGAGUCGCAAAGUCGCGAGGCUAAGCUAAUCUCUUAAAGCUUCUCUCAGUUCGGAUUGUAGGCUGCAACUCGCCUACAUGAAGCCGGAAUCGCUAGUAAUCGCGGAUCAGCACGCCGCGGUGAAUACGUUCCCGGGCCUUGUACACACCGCCCGUCACACCACGAGAGUUUGUAACACCCGAAGUCGGUGAGGUAACCUUUGGAGCCAGCCGCCUAAG